CCCUGGGGGCUUCUGCGGCGCGUCCCACAGGGUCUCCAGCCGUACGACUGCGCUGCCCCGUCCCGGACGCGUGGACUGCUGGGCCGAACUGGAGUCGGGAAAGGGCUCCCAGCUCGGAACCACCCCGCCCUCCCGCUGCGGCCGCCGCAGCCCCGCCUGGUCACCCGCUCUCGCCUCACAGCGACAGGCGCGGAUCUCAGGGGAAUCACCUACUCCCAGGUGUCUCCAGGCCAGUGGACGAGACAGGGCCGACCUGUGGGGAACCACGCAACAGGUGCGCAGGUGCUCAGGACACACCUGGGUAGACAGCGAAGCUUUUCCUGUCCGUGUGGGCGCGGGUGAGAGCCCGGUUACCCAGGAAACUCCCACCUCACCCUCUCCACCUUCCGAAUUGCUCUGUGGAUGGUGGGGGAGGGGGGGAGUUACAGCUCACCGUGCGACGAUCAGAGGUCUCUUGUUUGGUGGAAGCCUGCUGAGUCUAUUGGCAGAGUGAAGCCAUUGCAACAUGUGACAGCAUAUAAGUGUCUGAGGAGGUUUGUCUGCGGCUAGUCCUGCUACAAUGUUGUAGACCAUCCCUCCCGUCUACUUCCUGGGCACCUCUGCUUCUUCCCAAUCUGCCUGUGUCCUCCCUAGAUCCUAAAAGCCCUGCGGCUCCCUGGAGCCAUCUUCUGGAGUACAGAGACCCUGUGACAUCAUCCACCUGCCUCCACCCCUGCCAUGGCCCUCCCCUGAGGACACCGUGGGGAACUGAGGUCUCUGCCCUCCAGGCUGCUGCUGCCAGACCCCGAUACCUCCACACUUGUGUAGAAGCCUCUGCUCCCCAGGCCUCCUGCCAUCCUGCUGAACACCCUCUGCCCCUCCUAGGAAGGGACCAGAGAAACUCGUGUGUGUCUGCCAUGAUGGCUUCGUGGGAGACAGUCAGAUCCACUAGGGAAGCAUCUGUGUCUGCCUGGCUCACCAUGCGGUAAAGUUAAUAAACAGUAAGUAUUUCCCUGAAUGAAGAAAUGAAUGAUGAAUGCUCACUGCCCACUCCCCGUCGCGCAGUGAGUACUCGGGCAUGUAGCUUUAGAGCGGUAUUUUGCUCCAGCCCAGAAAGGGUGGCUUCAGUGCCCCGUGCAGGAUACCGAAUGGCCGCCUCUGUGCACCUUCACUUCCUCCACUCCAAGGCCUUCCCUUUUCUCUCCCUUCAGGUGCCCACUCCUGUGCCACACCCUGUACUUUGUCAUCAACUGAAACUGCUCCGCCCCUGAAAUCUUGAAUACCAGGACCCCACUCUCUGACCCCACCUCCAUCCCCUAUGCCUGCCUCCCACCACACCUUCUCCUUAACUCACACACCGCCUCUGCUCCCUCCCACCCCAUCACCUCUUCCUGGUCCUGCUUCUCUUCCAGCCGAGCCUGAACUCCGGGCUGCUUGAACCUCCCCCUCAUCAGCAUCUUUCCUUCUCUGUACCUUGCCUUGUUUCAGCAGAACCCCAGCCUAGCUCAGCCUUUUUUUUUUUUUUUUUUUUAGACAGGGUCUCCCUUUGUCACCCAGGCUGGAGCACAGGACUCAAGGGACACAGGACCCAGGCUGGACACAGGACCCAGGCUGGAGCACAGGACCUCAGCCUUCUGAGUACCUGGGGUUACAGGCACCAUGCCUGCCUAAUUUUUUUAUUU
Molecule: long non-coding RNA, 1661 nt
Organism: Chlorocebus sabaeus (green monkey)
Lineage: Eukaryota; Metazoa; Chordata; Mammalia; Primates; Cercopithecidae
Source: RefSeq, a predicted model, not a curated record